This 74-nucleotide transfer RNA is filed under the name Candidatus Uhrbacteria bacterium. RNAcentral's name for it is "tRNA-Met". It matches the Rfam family "tRNA". From Rfam's summary of the family: Transfer RNA (tRNA) molecules are approximately 80 nucleotides in length. Their secondary structure includes four short double-helical elements and three loops (D, anti-codon, and T loops). Further hydrogen bonds mediate the characteristic L-shaped molecular structure. tRNAs have two regions of fundamental functional importance: the anti-codon, which is responsible for specific mRNA codon recognition, and the 3' end, to which the tRNAs corresponding amino acid is attached (by aminoacyl-tRNA synthetases). tRNAs cope with the degeneracy of the genetic code in two manners: having more than one tRNA (with a specific anti-codon) for a particular amino acid; and 'wobble' base-pairing, i.e. permitting non-standard base-pairing at the 3rd anti-codon position. Lineage: Bacteria; Candidatus Uhriibacteriota. The record is from RNAcentral.
GCCAGGGUAGCUCAGCUGGUUAGAGCGGGCGCUUCAUAAGCGUCAGGUCGCGAGUUCAAGUCUCGCCCCUGGUA